CCGGCCACACAAGUCCAUCGGGAAAUCCGCCAGCCUAACUGGCGGGCGUCCGGUGGAAACUGUGUGGCUUGGGAUCGGAAGACCCAACGGGUACGUCUUGGGUAGGGGUGAAAUCCUGUAAUCCUGGACGGACCACCGAUAGCGAAAGCACGUUGGGAAGACGAAUCCGACGGUGAGGGACGAAAGCCAGGGUCUCGAACCGGAUUAGAUACCCGGGUAGUCCUGGCCGUAAACGAUGUCUGCUAGGUGUGACUCCCACUACGAGUGGGUGUUGUGCCGUAGGGAAGCCGCUAAGCAGACCGCCUGGGAAGUACGUCCGCAAGGAUGAAACUUAAAGGAAUUGGCGGGGGAGCACUACAACCGGAGGAGCCUGCGGUUUAAUUGGACUCAACGCCGGACAUCUCACCAGCAUCGACAACAGUAAUGACGGUCAGGUUGAUGACCUUUCCAGAGUUGUUGAGAGGAGGUGCAUGGCCGCCGUCAGCUCGUACCGUGAGGCGUCCUGUUAAGUCAGGCAACGAGCGAGACCCGCACUCCUAAUUGCCAGCACCGGCUUCGGCCGGGUGGGUACAUUAGGAGGACUGCCGUGGCUAACACGGAGGAAGGAACGGGCAACGGUAGGUCAGUAUGCCCCGAAUGUGCUGGGCUACACGCGGGCUACAAUGGCCAAGACAAUGGGUUCCCACCUCGAAAGAGGGCGGUAAUCUCCUAAACUUGGUCGUAGUUCGGAUUGAGGGUUGAAACUCACCCUCAUGAA
RNAcentral lists this ribosomal RNA (757 nucleotides) under uncultured Halobacteria archaeon. RNAcentral describes it as "bacterial SSU rRNA". It matches the Rfam family "Archaeal small subunit ribosomal RNA", at positions 525 to 1280 of the family's 1478-position model. The record is from RNAcentral. Lineage: Archaea; Methanobacteriati; Methanobacteriota; Halobacteria.